UGAUUUGAUUUUCCUGUUUCCACGACGAUGAAUUCCUGCAAUGAAGAAAGAAGUGAACCCUUUCGACGCAUCAACGGACGGAUUCGAGUGGGAAAAAACCGAAAGUGGAGGCGUUUGUAUGGAAAUCAAGUGUUAAAUUGGUAAGUCAACUUCUUCCUUCUAUCUCUUGAAAGAUACGUCUUUCGGUGAAAAACAGGAAUGUGUUUAACAUAAUUUGCUCAAUCUCUUUCGAUAAUGUCACCCUUGAACGAACCACCUUCAUGCCGAUUAUUACUUCUCCCCCCUUCGUUUUAACCGGAAAUAGAAGUGAUCCGACUAGAAAUUGCUUAUCAAAAUGGUAAACGGUGGUUUAACGUAAUUUCCUCAUUACACAAAUUCGCCCUUUUCACCUUAUUAAUUAUUUCCAUAAUCAUUUUUUUUCCUUCAUAAUGAAGGCUUACAUUGUGUACACGCCCUUUCACUUUCGGUCGUAAAGGCAUAAAGAAGGUUUACGACUUGGGGAAAGGACGGAUAGAAAAUCGCGGGUGUCGUAAAUCUU
Onthophagus taurus is the source of this 538-nucleotide non-coding RNA. Lineage: Eukaryota; Metazoa; Arthropoda; Insecta; Coleoptera; Scarabaeidae. The record is from RefSeq and is a predicted model, not a curated record.